This is a non-coding RNA of Podarcis lilfordi (Lilford's wall lizard), 76 nucleotides long. NCBI's taxonomy places the organism in Eukaryota, Metazoa, Chordata, Lepidosauria, Squamata, Lacertidae. The record is from the annotation of a GenBank genome assembly.
GGAGAGGGCUAUGGCUUAGUGGUAGUGUGCUUGCCUUGCACGCAGAAGGUCACAGGUUCAAUCCCUGGCAUCUCCA